UUAGGUUAAGUUAUGAAGGGCGCAUGGUGAAUGCCUUGGUACUAGGAGCCGAUGAAGGACGGGACUAACACCGAUAUGCUUCGGGGAGCGGUAAGUACGCUUUGAUCCGGAGAUUUCCGAAUGGGGAAACCCAAUCAGCUUAGUCGCUGAUUACUUGACUAGUGAAUACAUAGCUAGCAAGAGGUAGACGCAGUGAACUGAAACAUCUUAGUAGCUGCAGGAAGAGAAAGAAACAUCGAUUCCCUGAGUAGCGGCGAGCGAAAAGGGAAGAGCCCAAACUAACAAGCUUGCUUGUUGGGGUUGUAGGACUGAACAUUAGAGUUACCAAAGUGCGACGUAGUCGCAACAGUUGGGAAGCUGUGCCAUAGAGGGUGAAAG
Molecule: ribosomal RNA, 378 nt
Filed under: Limosilactobacillus reuteri
Lineage: Bacteria; Bacillati; Bacillota; Bacilli; Lactobacillales; Lactobacillaceae
Description: bacterial LSU rRNA
Rfam family: Bacterial large subunit ribosomal RNA
Source: RNAcentral